GCUCGAUGAGUAGGGCGGGACACGUGGUAUCCUGUCUGAAUAUGGGGGGACCAUCCUCCAAGGCUAAAUACUCCUGACUGACCGAUAGUGAACCAGUACCGUGAGGGAAAGGCGAAAAGAACCCCGGCGAGGGGAGUGAAAAAGAACCUGAAACCGUGUACGUACAAGCAGUGGGAGCACGCUUAGGCGUGUGACUGCGUACCUUUUGUAUAAUGGGUCAGCGACUUAUAUUCUGUAGCAAGGUUAACCGAAUAGGGGAGCCGAAGGGAAACCGAGUCUUAACUGGGCGUUAAGUUGCAGGGUAUAGACCCGAAACCCGGUGAUCUAGCCAUGGGCAGGUUGAAGGUUGGGUAACACUAACUGGAGGACCGAACCGACUAAUGUUGAAAAAUUAGCGGAUGACUUGUGGCUGGGGGUGAAAGGCCAAUCAAACCGGGAGAUAGCUGGUUCUCCCCGAAAGCUAUUUAGGUAGCGCCUCGUGAAUUCAUCUCCGGGGGUAG
This 500-nucleotide ribosomal RNA is filed under the name Escherichia coli. RNAcentral describes it as "partial 23S ribosomal RNA". It matches the Rfam family "Bacterial large subunit ribosomal RNA", at positions 403 to 905 of the family's 2925-position model. Lineage: Bacteria; Pseudomonadati; Pseudomonadota; Gammaproteobacteria; Enterobacterales; Enterobacteriaceae. The record is from RNAcentral.